RNAcentral lists this long non-coding RNA (556 nucleotides) under Glycine max (soybean). Its description in RNAcentral is "long non-coding RNA (GMAX_LNC000655)". The record is from RNAcentral. Lineage: Eukaryota; Viridiplantae; Streptophyta; Magnoliopsida; Fabales; Fabaceae.
CCAAAUCCCAUCAUCACUCUCUUUCACGCACAGCGUCACCCCUUCCCCGUUCACGCGACUGCUUCUCCUAGUACGACGGACGAUUUCUCUCUUCUCUCGUUUUUUUCCGACGCGGUUUAAAUCCGGCGAGGUCACCACUGUCACUCCGCUCGUUUUCCAGUUCGGGUGAGGUUUCUGUUUUCGCCCUUUUUAUGUGUUUCUAUUGUCUUUUUGCCUUUCUAUUGCUUUCGCCCUUUCCCCUGUUUUUGCGUUUCUUAAAGUUACUUUCUUUUUAAGAUUUUAUAAUAGAAAUCUGCAUAUUUGCAUACAUAUCUAAUUUUUUUAUAACGUAUCGUAUCCUUAAUUUCUAAAAAUUUGCCUUACCGUAUCCGUGUCUUAUCUAGGCUUCAUAGAGCCCCAGCAUCGACUUCAAAUGCUUCUCAAAAUGAGGUUAAAAUGAUCCAGCUUGGGGACAUUGUAAACAAAUUGAUGAAGGUGGUUCAAAAGUCACUAUGAUGUGUGUGCGUGUGUGUAUAUAUAAUUGUUAAUUUUUUAAUACAUACCGGGUCAAACUGAG